UGUGCCAGCAGCCGCGGUAAUACGUAGGGGGCGAGCGUUGUCCGGAUUUACUGGGCGUAAAGGGUGAGUAGGCGGUUAUAUAUGUCAGGUGUAAAAAGCUAUGGCUUAACCAUAGUAAGCACUUGAAACUGUAUGACUUGAGUGCAGGAGAGGUAAGCGGAAUUCCUAGUGUAGCGGUGAAAUGCGUAGAUAUUAGGAGGAACACCGGUGGCGAAGGCGGCUUACUGGACUGUAACUGACGCUGAGUCACGAAAGCGUGGGUAGCAAACAGGAUUAGAUACCCUGGUAGUCCACGCCGUAAACGAUGAGUGCUAGGUGUUGGGCAGCAAUGCUCGGUGCCGAAGUAAACACAAUAAGCACUCCGCCUGGGGAGUACGUACGCAAGUAUGAAACUCAAAGGAAUUGACGGGGACCCGCACAAGCAGCGGAGCAUGUGGUUUAAUUCGAAGCAACGCGAAGAACCUUACCAAGGCUUGACAUCCCCUUGACAGAUGCAGAGAUGUGUCCUCCUCUUCGGAGGCAAGGGAGACAGGUGGUGCAUGGUUGUCGUCAGCUCGUGUCGUGAGAUGUUGGGUUAAGUCCCGCAACGAGCGCAACCCUUAUCCUUAGUUGCCAGCAUGUAAAGAUGGGCACUCUAAGGAGACUGCCGGUGAUAAACCGGAGGAAGGUGGGGAUGACGUCAAAUCAUCAUGCCCCUUAUGUCUUGGGCUACACACGUGCUACAAUGGUCGGUACAACGGGCAGCGAAGGAGCGAUCCGGAGCGAAUCCCAAUAAACCGAUCCCAGUUCGGAUUGCAGGCUGCAACUCGCCUGCAUGAAGUCGGAGUUGCUAGUAAUCGCGAAUCAGAACGUCGCGGUGAAUGCGUUCCCGGGUCUUGUACACACCGCCCGUCACACCAUGGAAGUUGGUAAUACCCGAAGUCGCUGAGCUAACCUUAAAGGAGGCAGGCGCCGAAGGUAGGAUCAAUGACUGGGGUGAAGUCGUAACAAGGUAACCA
This 998-nucleotide ribosomal RNA is filed under the name uncultured bacterium. RNAcentral describes it as "bacterial SSU rRNA". It matches the Rfam family "Bacterial small subunit ribosomal RNA", at positions 504 to 1502 of the family's 1533-position model. The record is from RNAcentral.